AUGAUCGCCCAUCUCAGAGCAGACCGCUGAUCGGAGAGCAAUCCAAAGCAUUCGCUUCCCGCAACCUUCUGCUGGGUUUUCUAUUUAUCGGCAUAUUUGGGGAUCAUACACAUAGAUACAUAUAUAUAUAUACAUAUACGUUUGUGAGUUAUACGUAUCGAUUGCCUGUAUAGCAAAUUAGGGUUUGGUUCGAUCAAGCUACCAUGUCUCUAAGGCCCAGCACGAGGACUGAUGUUCGUCGGAGCCGGUACAAGGUCGCCGUCGAUGCUGAGGAAGGACGGCGGAGGAGGGAAGAUAACAUGGUUGAGAUUCGCAAGAGCAAAAGAGAAGAGAGUUUGCUUAAGAAGCGUCGCGAGGGGCUUCAGGCUCAGCAGUUGUCGGCUACCAUCAACGUCUCUCAAAUCGACAAGAAGUUAGAAAGUCUUCCUGCCAUGGUUGCUGGGGUUUGGUCAGAAGAUAGCAACUUACAGCUAGAAGCAACUACUCAAUUUCGGAAGCUACUUUCAAUAGAACGUAAUCCUCCUAUCGAGGAGGUGAUACAAUCUGGUGUCGUUCCUCGUUUUGUCCAGUUUGUUGCCAGGGAUGACUACCCGCAACUUCAGUUUGAGGCAGCUUGGGCUCUCACUAACAUUGCAUCUGGAACGUCUGAGAACACCAAGGUUGUGAUUGAUCAUGGUGCUGUUCCAAUUUUUGUGAGACUUCUUGGUUCUCCAAGCGAUGAUGUUCGUGAACAGGCUGUUUGGGCAUUGGGAAAUAUUGCAGGUGAUUCGCCCAAGUGUCGCGAUCUUGUCCUUAACCAUGGGGCCCUUAUGCCGUUGCUGGCGCAAUUCAAUGAACAUGCAAAACUUUCUAUGUUGAGAAAUGCAACGUGGACUUUGUCAAACUUUUGCAGGGGCAAGCCACAACCUCAGUUUGAGCAGACAAAGCCUGCACUGCCAGCACUUGCCCAACUUAUUCAUUCGAACGAUGAAGAAGUCCUCACUGAUGCAUGCUGGGCAUUAUCAUAUCUUUCUGAUGGGACAAAUGACAAAAUCCAAGCUGUUAUAGAGGCUGGUGUCUGCCCCCGUCUUGUUGCGCUUUUGGUUCAUCUGUCACCAUCAGUCCUCAUUCCUGCCCUGCGGACAGUUGGUAACAUUGUUACAGGGGAUGAUAUCCAAACUCAGGCUAUUAUAGACCAUCAAGCUCUUCCUUGUCUUCUAAACCUGUUGACUCAUAACUACAAGAAGAGCAUAAAAAAAGAAGCUUGCUGGACCAUCUCAAAUAUCACAGCUGGAAAUAGGGAUCAGAUACAGGCUGUUAUUGAGGCUGGUAUUAUUGGACCACUUGUCCAACUGCUUCAAAAUGCUGAAUUUGAGGUUAAGAAAGAAGCUGCCUGGGCAAUUUCAAAUGCAACAUCUGGUGGUACCCAUGAGCAGAUAAAGUUCUUGGUGAGCCAGGGAUGUAUAAAGCCACUGUGUGAUCUCCUAGUAUGUCCCGACCCAAGAAUAGUCACGGUUUGUUUGGAAGGGCUUGAGAAUAUCCUGAAGGUUGGGGACGUUGAGAAGAAUUUGGGUAACUCAGGCGAUGUGAAUUUAUAUGCUCAGUUGAUUGAUGAAGCUGAAGGACUAGAGAAGAUAGAAAACCUUCAGAGUCAUGACAACAAUGAAAUAUAUGAGAAGGCAGUGAAGAUUUUGGAGACAUACUGGUUGGAGGAGGAGGAUGAGCAAUUGCCUCCAGGUGAUGCUUCUCAAUCUGGAUUUCAAUUUGGAGGAAAGGAACUUCCAGUUCCAUCGGGUGGAUUCAAUUUCAGUUGAAGGAAAAUUGGGUUGCCUCCAAUGUGAUGUAGCAGAUCAGGUUUGGGCUGGUUAAACAUGUGUUUUCAAUAUGGUUUGGUAGAGGCUUAUUUUUCACCCGUCUUUGAGUACCAUUUGGUCGAAGGGAUGCUGUGGGAGAAUUUUCGCUCCUUCACAGUGGUGCAUCUCCCUGGAUGUUAAGCGUUGUUGGGAGUCCUUAUCGCAGAAGAACUGCAUGAACAUGAUGAGAAGAAAAGGAAAAAGAAACAACUUGUUGGUUCUCUUUUCGUCAGGUUCAUCUCUUGAAGCAAAUAAAAGGAGUGUUCAGAGUCUUACUGUUUUGGUAUCGGCAUAGCGUUUGUUGUUGUUAGUGGGGAGGGAAAUACAUGCCCAUUAUGUUUUGUUAAAAGCUUUCAUGUAUGAUUUAAGGUACCGUGUUACAAGUUACAAUUACUGGUGAUGCCUAUUUACUGUUGAAAGUGAAAAAAAAAAAAAAAUGUUUGUUAGUACA
Molecule: RNA transcript, 2283 nt
Organism: Diospyros lotus (date-plum)
Lineage: Eukaryota; Viridiplantae; Streptophyta; Magnoliopsida; Ericales; Ebenaceae
Gene name: importin subunit alpha
Exons: 12
Source: RefSeq, a predicted model, not a curated record